CGAUGAAGCCCUUCGGGGUGGAUUAGUGGCGAACGGGUGAGUAACACGUGGGCAAUCUGCCCUUCACUCUGGGACAAGCCCUGGAAACGGGGUCUAAUACCGGAUAACACUCUGUCCCGCAUGGGACGGGGUUAAAAGCUCCGGCGGUGAAGGAUGAGCCCGCGGCCUAUCAGCUUGUUGGUGGGGUAAUGGCCUACCAAGGCGACGACGGGUAGCCGGCCUGAGAGGGCGACCGGCCACACUGGGACUGAGACACGGCCCAGACUCCUACGGGAGGCAGCAGUGGGGAAUAUUGCACAAUGGGCGAAAGCCUGAUGCAGCGACGCCGCGUGAGGGAUGACGGCCUUCGGGUUGUAAACCUCUUUCAGCAGGGAAGAAGCGAAAGUGACGGUACCUGCAGAAGAAGCGCCGGCUAACUACGUGCCAGCAGCCGCGGUAAUACGUAGGGCGCAAGCGUUGUCCGGAAUUAUUGGGCGUAAAGAGCUCGUAGGCGGCUUGUCACGUCGGGUGUGAAAGCCCGGGGCUUAACCCCGGGUCUGCAUUCGAUACGGGCUAGCUAGAGUGUGGUAGGGGAGAUCGGAAUUCCCUGGUGUAGCGGUGAAAUGCGCAGAUAUCACGGAGGAACACCGGUGGCGAAAGGCGGAUCUCUGGGCCAUUACUGACGCUGA
This 668-nucleotide ribosomal RNA is filed under the name Streptomyces griseus. RNAcentral's name for it is "bacterial SSU rRNA". It matches the Rfam family "Bacterial small subunit ribosomal RNA", at positions 67 to 749 of the family's 1533-position model. The record is from RNAcentral. Lineage: Bacteria; Bacillati; Actinomycetota; Actinomycetes; Kitasatosporales; Streptomycetaceae.